CCCUUAGAUGUUCUGGGCCGCACGCGUGCUACACUGAGUGGAUCAGCGGGUCAGGUUGCGCGAAAGCGUUUCCUAAUCUUUAAAUCCGCUCGUGAUGGGGAUUGACGGUUGCAAUUUUCUGUCAUGAACGAGGAAUACCUUGUAAGCGCGGGUCAUCAUCCCGCGCUGAAUACGUCCCUGCCCUUUGUACACACCGCCCGUCGCUACUACCGAUUGAAUGGCUUAGUGAGCCUUUGGGAUUGGCAGCCAACACCGGCAACGGUAGCUGGCCGCCGAAAACUUAUGCAAACUUGGUCAUUUAGAGGAAGUAAAAGUCGUAACA
This 322-nucleotide ribosomal RNA is filed under the name uncultured eukaryote. Its description in RNAcentral is "partial 18S ribosomal RNA". It matches the Rfam family "Eukaryotic small subunit ribosomal RNA", at positions 1470 to 1796 of the family's 1831-position model. The record is from RNAcentral.